RNAcentral lists this long non-coding RNA (10836 nucleotides) under Eucalyptus grandis. RNAcentral's name for it is "long non-coding RNA (EGRA_LNC005423)". Lineage: Eukaryota; Viridiplantae; Streptophyta; Magnoliopsida; Myrtales; Myrtaceae. The record is from RNAcentral.
ACUACACCACACAUGUCUGACUAGAAUUUGUACUCAAUAAACACCCCUCGAUACAAACUACUGGAAUAUACAUUUAACAUACUUGAUUUACUUUUUCUGAAACUUCUUAUUUUGAAUUAUGCAGUUCUCUCGCUAGUCUUAUUAUGUUAACCCCGACAUUAUUGAUGCAACUAUACCUAUAAAAAGAACUUGGAUAAUUGCAAAAGGAAUCAUCAAUUGUGCUCUCCGUAUCGAACACCCUCCUCACAUUUCAAGACUUACAUUUUGCAUCUCCCCAACCUGAAAAAAACUGACUUGCCUCAUGCAUGCACAUCGCGCGAUCCACACCCAAAAAUUAAAACAAAGGUCGUGGAUGGGGUAAUUUGGGAAUGAAAAUGGCCUAACUUGGAACUUAGCAGAUUAAGUAGCAAAGGAAGAUGCAAUUUAAAACCAAUGGAAAGAAGUCAGGAUGGUAAUUGUAGGUUUUAAAAUGUGAGGAAGGUACUUGACAGGAGUAAAGUUCAGGAUGGUAUCAGUACUUUUCCCCAAAGAGAUCUUUCAGUACCUGAAAGUUAUCAAAUGCACGAUGAGGGAUAUUAUCAUCAAAUUGCUUCAUUGCAUCCCAUGGUCCAUCUCCCACACCAACUAAUAUGAUGGAGAGAGGAUAUUGGCUGCUCUACCAAAAAGAAACAAACAGGAUGUCAAGGAAUGUGAUAAUUGCAAAGUCGGAAUAUGUGACCUUUCUUCACCAAGCAGGACAGUAACAAAAACAUGCAAUUCCAAAAUUACCUAGCUGCUACUAUGGAGUUUAUAGUUGCCUGUUCUUGUGGGCUGAAUCUCCCAGGAGGUAAAUCAGGACUUCUAGUAACCUAUGAACCAUGGUGAUGGAACAAUAAGCAUGAGGAAAGAACUUGGUGAUAAAGCAACAAUAAGGAUGUGAUACGCAAAGUAUUGAGAACCUGUCCAUCUGCUAUAAUGACGAGGACAUGAUAUUGCCUGUUGCUCCUAGCCACAAUGUCGAUAGCGGCAUCAAUUAUCGGCGCAAAUGAUGUGGGCCCUAUAAACAACAGUAAUAGAAAGCGUUAAAAACUACCGCAUGGAAGUUUCUAUUAUAUGGACCUUCGACUGCCCGAGACAGCCUUAAAGGAUCCAUCAUAAACUCCUACGGACAAAUUUCCUGUAGGAGACCAACAAAAGAAACAUGAGACAAAAUGAGGGCAAUAAACCAUCCAAAAUGGGGAAAAGAAAAACAUAAAUGAUAAGUUCAUUCAUGGGAAAAUAUCAGUUAACAAAAUGGAAGACUAUCAUGGCUAAGUCAUGGCUCUGGAAGGAACUGGGAGUAUGUUGAGUGAAACAGCUAUUUUAUGACCUAAGUUUAAAACCUAUUCAAAAUAAUAACUUGGUUUACAAGUUGGGAAAGUUUGGCAUGGACGUUUCAAUCUUUAUUUCUUAACCAUGUAGGACCACCGAAACCUCUUGCUCUCCUCUUGGAUUCUUUAUAACGCUAUGAUUUGGGUAACAUUGAUGUCCAUCAAUCCUGCCAUUUAAAGUCUAAUGAAAAUGAAAAACAAAAAUACUACUGAUUUAGACAAGAUGUUUUCUUAUUCUUCACAAUGAUUGAGAACACUGUACUUUGCUCGAACUUGCAGAUUUGUUUAUUUCAGUUUUAAAAGAAGACGAAGACUGCAAAAUAUUUUGGCCUAAAGUAGAAACCAUCACAUAAGAACGAUCGGUAAAGAAGGAGAAAAACCUGACAACUUUAAGUGUGGGACGAUCUCUCUGUAACGUGCAAGCACUUCCUCAAAACCACGACAAGAACGAUGAUCAGAAUAAAAGCUGAAGACUGAUCGAUCAUGUGUUGAUGCUGCAAAAAGCAAUGUGAUGAGAAGAAAGCUUCAAAGGCGAUGAUAAGAAUUCCUACCAAAGCUACAAAUUACCAACAGCACUGACCAUCGCCAAAUCCAAAACAAGGUAUGAGUUCAUCUUCGUCAAAAGGGGACAAUGUUUUGCCGAUUAUAGAAAUUGCUUGCUCAUAUGGAUUAGGUGUGUUACCAGUGGCAUGAAGACUUUUUCUCCCGAAGGAAUAUUUACCUACGAUACAAAAUUCACAUUAUUUUUCCAAUAUAUAGUUUCAUAAAACCUUAAUGCUUUGUUUGUCCAUUGGAAAUAGAAUCACCUGACCACUCAUUGCUCUUUGUGAAAUCAAUACCAAGGAUUAAAUUUGAUGAUUCAAGGCCAGCGUCCCUCAGUGCAGUUGUGACCUAAAAUAUGAGCAUCACAAAUCCCAUUACUGUUUCAUUUUACAUCUUUAAAGUCAAAACAGCCAAAGUAUAAUCACCACAGUUCACAUUCCCAUCUAAUUUCACAGCUUUUCAAUCAAAACUGCCAAUCAACAAACAGCGGAUAGGAUAGACAAGAUUCAGAGAUAAAAAAGAAUAUUAUUAAGAAUCAAAUUAAGACUUAGCUCAAAUUCUGUGGAAAAAUUUUCAACCCAAAAAUUUAAGUAUUUAGACGGAGGGAGACUGCAUGCAUAUAAGAACAAACUUGUAAACAAGUGAUGUAAAUUUUUUAGACAACUCACGUCAGUUACCUCAACUCAAGAACAUAAACCACAUUAAACUUAAAUUUAACCAAAGUGGUACCAGGAAACUACAUUGGCAAGCCCAAUCACAACCCAGCCAAAUCUCCUUGGCACAUAACAGGCAAUGAUGAAGGGAGACAGCAUGUUCAUGAUCCUCCUAAACCUUAAUAGUCAAUGGAAACAAACAAAACAAUAAACACCUGAUCCAAGGAGUUGAAAUUAUCUCCAAAGUGCGUCGAUCGAUGCUCAUGUCCAUAUUUUGACUCCAUUUAGCUUUCUGCAAAAGAAGGUGGUUGAUGCAAAUAAUCAUAAUGAGGGUCAUAUAAGUUGAUUCAUUAUUGCCCAUUUCCAGAAUGACAGAUUUUCCUAUGAAAAGGUAUCUAUAUCUAUGUUUUGCUCAGACUAUCUUAUGAGGUAGAUGGUGGCUUUCUCACAGGAACAAACAAGGACCAAUGAACUACUUUAGAAGUCAACAAUAGUAAAACAUAAUUCUUACAUAAUCUGCUACAUUUCAAGCACACAAAUUACAGCAUGGUCAUUGAAAUUCUUUAUCCAAUAUCUCGGACCUGGAAGUACUUUUUCCCAUAGAAAGAACGCAAGACGCCAUGUUUCUCAAUAACGAUAAAGAAUUAGAAACUAAAAGUUAUUUAUAACCAACAGUUUGAGGGAGACUGCUGAUUCACUUCAAGAUGGCCCGCUUCCUUCAAUCAUCUAUUCCCUCAAAUAGAUCAUAAAUCGUUCAAAAUCUCCCGAUAAAACAUUGCCAUUAUAUAUAACUUGAAACUGAAAAACACAGGUCAGCAAAAAUCCAACCCCCUACAAAAUUUACAGAAUCCAAAUAUGUUAUCGAAGCAAACCAACAAGUCAAUUAGCCAAGCACAAUCACAACAGUUCGACCCACAUGAUUUCCAAGGUUCACAUUAUGGGUCCGGAACCAAGUUCAAGUUCAAGUUCAAGAUCGACCCUUUGGAAAAAGUGAAGAACUUUCCCACAUGUAGUGGCUCAGUUCACUCUAUCUUCAAAAGGGUCUCGAAGAAAGAUCCCGCAGACGCACUGUAAUCAGGUAUUCACCACAGUAAAAUCGAAAAAUUCAAGAAACCGCGUGGCGGAAAGCGGUGACAACGCCAUCAUCAAGAAUUGACAUGGGGAAAGAGAGAGAAAGAUGUACCCGUUCAUAAGUUGGAGGUAAGCCCAAAGAUUUGCAAGCUAUUCAAGAGCCUCCUUCUCUCGAUCGAAGGUCUCCGGAAGACGCAGAGAGAGUGGCCCUCUUGUCGCUUGACCGAUUUCUUCUGAGUCUUCCUGUUUCUUUCUUUCUUUCUUUCUUUUCGGUUUACUGCUUUCUGAAAAUUACUUCUGGCUUUAGCUGGCUCUGCCCCCACGUUCUCCACGUGUCUACUUGCAAUUAUAGGGACCAUCUGUAAUAAAACCUAGUUACUCUAAUUAGGUGCCAAGAUUUACAAAUUCAUCCUUGAUGAGAUUAUAAAAUUUAGGGAAAAAGCCAUGAAAAACCCUGAACUUUACUCAAAGUGACACAUUUACCCCAAACUUUUGUUUGUGACGUAAAAAUCCAAAACUUUGCCAACCAUGACACAUUUACUCCAAACUUUUUUUUGUGAAACAAAAAUCCUGAACUUUCAUUACGUGAUACAUUUACCCAAAAAUUAGAUGGCAUUUUGGUCUUUUCAUUUUUAAAUUUUUUUUUCUUCUCUCUUCCCUCCGCCGGCUCCGCCAUGGCCGGCGGAGGGAAGAAGAAGAAGAAAAAAAAAGGAAAAAACAGAAUAAAAAGACAAAAAUGCCCUUGAUGGGGUAAAUGUGUCACAAUUUAGAAAGUUUGGGAUUUUUCACGUCAUAAAAAAAAAAGUUUUGGGUAAAUGUGUCACUUUAGGCAAAGUUCAGGGUUUUCAUAGCUUUUUCCCUAAAAUUUACUUACUGUGACUCAAUUAUUGACUUAAAGUAUCCAAUCAAAGGCCACUUCGAUAGAAUCCAGAAAUAGAUGCUGAAAAUUUAAGUAUUGAAAUUUAAACACUGAUAAUCUAGAAUCUUAAUAAUCAAAUAAAAGGUUAUUUAGGGUAUGUCUGUUUUUUUUAAAGAUAUUCCUCCGAAAAUAAUCAUUUGUAUUUUGUGAAAUAAUACUUGUUGUUGAUUAAAAUAUUUGUUAUUCAUAUAUUCUUAUAAACAACGGAAGUCAUCAUUCUAAAAAAAUAUAUUUUUUAAGUUAUUUAUAGAAUAGAGCAUUAAUAACAACUGAAUAUUGAAUAUUCAUUGACAGGGGCUCAAUAAUUGACAAGAUCUUGAUUCCUAUCUGGAUCAAGCUUCUUCUCUAUUGUGUCUGAUUAAGGUAUCUACACAGAAAGGGGCCCAAUUUGUCCUUUCGAUUAUUCCCUUUCCUCUUUGUCUUUUCCAUUUUUGUGUUUUGCUUUUUCAGCUAACUAGAUGCACUUCCUCAGCUGGUAGCCUUCUACAUAAAGAACUAUUUAAUAACCAAUUAAGUGUUCAAAAUAAAUGAAAAUUUGAUGAUUGAGCAUCUUAUAGACUUUAAAGAUUCAAUUAAGGCCCGCUUGAUAAGAUUGAAAUAAUUUAAGGACUUAUUAUAAAUGUUGAUAAUCUUAAGGGUUGAAGAUGGAAAAAUAAAAAUCAAAUAUUGAAUUUGGAUUAAUAUUAUUAUCAAAAAUAGCAUUGUCGGAUCGCCAAGGUCGACCUUUGUCCUUGCUCGACAAGUGGUUCUUGCAGUCGAGCUCCCUUGUGGAAGGGUUGUCACUCAACAAAUAAUGGAUAACAGGCUCAUCUUCCCUAGGCGUUCACUUUGACGGCAAAGUUUGCCAUCUUGAUGUAUGCUCUUCACCACCUGUAGGUAAGUGAAUUAUUAUUAGGUUUUAAACAUGUAACAAUGUCAUCGCAACAUUUUUAAUUCCCAUUUGGCUGCCUUUCUUAUUGAAUGAAUUAUGUAUUCACUUCCUCAUUUGCAAAUCAUGUGACUUUCUGACUUAACUAGAUCAAAGCUAGUUACAAUCAUCAUAAGUGGUUAAUUUAUUGAGUACUAAACAAGAUUAAUCCCCCAUAUUUAAUUAGGCCCUCCGGCAAAAUUUCAUUUAGUAUGGUCCCCGUAUGAUAAAACCUAGCAAGUUUGUCAUUUGUAAGGCCAUGUCAUAGUAGAAAAGCCCUAUGAUUUAUUAAACUUUGGUUAUACGAAGUUUAGAGACCAUAUUAUAUUUUUCUUGGGCUACCUAGAUAUUAGCCACUUAAAAAAGAAUCAUCUUUUACAAUGUUCAUUAAAUGCAACAUCUCUUGCGGUCUAGCAAUGGAGAACACCUUGCGAGUGUGCAUGCUGAUAUACAAUCAAGGACCAGACUUGGUUUCUAUCACAAAAAAUUAUUCAUAUUUCGGGUCCUAAAAAGCACAAGUGACAAGUUUGAUUCUCGCUUCACGGACCUUUCAAGGCCAUGACACAAUUGACCAGUUUGUUUGCCAACCAUCCGCUGCAAACAUGAAAUCUGAUUUAGAACAUCACCCGUUUCCCAUGAAGAAGUGAGUAUCCAUUUCCAAACUACUGGAGUUUGGUUGCAAUUUAAAGUGAAACGCAAAUGGGGUCAUUGCAGUUUACACAAGAACAAAACAGUUGAUAAAUGAUACCGCAAGGUACCGUUUGUGGCUUCACAAUCAAUGCUCAAAUGCGCUCUAGCCACUUGAAAGAUUCAUGAUACUGACUCUUUCUUCUUUAUGCGAGCAGGAGCUCACGUGCUGGGGGACCAAAGGCCCCCUUGACCCUCUAGGAUAACAUCUACAUUCUAAUCCCGGUGUCAUUCAUGCCAAUGAACUCAUCUGAGAUUGUAAGAUUGUAAGCUGAUGCAUUGAAAAAUUGUGUCGUAAUGUGGGUAAGGGUCGUGAUAAAAAUGAAGAAUCCUGGACUCGGUAAGUUUUGCUGUCGGUAUAUAGAUAAUAAAUAGAUGAAGCCACGAGGUUGGAGCAAGAAAGUAUGAUGAAUGAUGUGAGGGGCUGGUGAAGGAUCUAUCUCAAAAACCAUACAUGUAUACUAGAAAAACGUAACGUAUUGUUUGAAUGGUAUAUAUCAGCAUCGUAUAAUAUAACACAAAAAAGGUGACGAAAGGUGAGAUUUAAGUAUCAUAUCUACCAGAACUUGAUUCUGAUUUAGUUUUGAUUGAAUCUCACAAAUCAUGGGAUUGUAGUUGUUAACCCACAAAUCAUAGGAUUGUAGCUUUCCUCCUAUUUAGGCUUUGUUUCCUUUUUGUUUGCUAGGAUUUCUCUAUGCAUUUGCCUACAAAUAUGACACUGUAAAGCUAAAGAAUAUAUGAAUGAUAAUAAGAAUUUCUCUCCAUCUAAAUUUCCACAUGGUAUCAAGGCUGGAGGUUCUGAGUUCAAAUCUUACUUAAUUCAAUUUGCCUCCCCAAUUAAAUUUUCACGUUUAGUAUUAAGCAAAAAGGCCAAGCUAAGCAUGAGGAGAGGAGUGUUAGAAUAUUAAGUUUAAGCUUUUAAAACAGUUGGCCGUAGUCCCAAAAAAUCUCACACUCCCUUCCAUUGCCAACAAAUUGCGGUUAGCUACUUAAAUGUACUCAGAGAUCUCCAUGUUGAUUUGGGUGGACAAGCCAAAUCCUCAAAGAACCAAGAUGAGGGAAAAUUCAAAGUUGUUCCUGGUCUCUAGACAGAAGUAAGGAGAAAGAAAUUUCUUACUCAGAGAGAUGGUAGAUGGAAAGUUGCCACUGAGGUCUUAGUUACUGAUGCCUCCAACAAAAAUAUAGAACAAGGAUUUGGUUGCAUUCAUUACGGGUUAUUGACAAGAAAAGAUAUCACUCAUCUUGUUCAAAGGGUUAACGAAAUGGCCUGUUAGGGGUUUCUGACAGAGUUCUGCUUACCUGUAGCCUCCUCGACUUCAUUUAUGAGUACAACAUACCACUUGCCUACUCUGAUUCCCAGUUGUAGGCCAUGAAAUUGCCACGUGUAUGGUGUUAUUCUUAUCCUCCCAGCUUUUCUAUAAUAUAUGUUUGCAUGUAUCACUAUGGGGUGUAAAGUUAGUAUGCCUCCAUUCACGUACGUAACAUGAAAAGGAUUAGCAACUGGAGUUUUGUAUUGAGACAAGGAGAGACUGGAAAUGUCAAUGUGAGCUUGUCAUGGGCACAUUUGUAGAGUGAACACUGCUCUAGAUGCCAGUUAAGUCAGCUGCGGAGAUUUUUGAAACAAUUCUGAACAUAUCUAUUGUGGUCGACGAGAGGGGAUACACUUCUAUUGCUAGUAUAACUUCUUUUGCGCAAUCUAAUUUUAUCAGUGUAUGUUGCUGGUAUAGCUUCUUUUGCGCAAUCUAAUUUAUCAGUGUCUGUUGCUGGUAUAGCUUCUUUUGUGCAAUCUAAUUUUAUCGGAUGGUGAAUUUGACAAUAAAGGUGAUACCAAUCUUAAAGAUGGUUAGUAAAUGUCCAAAAGAUUCUAAGAAAAUUCAUGGGAAAAAUGUCCUUGCUUAUCAAAUUCUGUUCUUUUUCCUCCGUUGACUUUUAUCCCCUUCGGAUCCAGCAUUUUAGUUUAUCAAUUUUUGUUAGGGUAGAGAGAUGACUCUUAAGUCUCGUCACCUAACGGUUUUUUAGAACUAAAGCACUGUCUGAAAUUAAAUCCGGAAGGAUCUAUGCUUAAAGGGGGAAAAGGCAUUGUGAUUUUCGAGGGAUUGUAGACCCUCCCCACUUUGUAAAUGGCUUUGCAUUCAAGCUCUUCUCCUCAGAUUGGUAUGGCUAUGAAGAAAACCAUAGGAAAUGACAAUAUAGGAUAGGAUCAAAUACGAAAUCUAUCCAUCAUUUGAGAAAAUACAGAAAGUUAGGGCAAAUAUACACAUCUAAUCUAUAAAAAAAAAAAGUUCAAAUCCACGGAGAAGUACAAACACAUCACAAUUUGCUUAGGAGACGCAAUCAAUCAGCAAACAAUUCACAUUCACGACUAAGUUAUCCAUUUUGUAACUUAAAAUCAUCUGCUCAUCUUCCCUUCUGCUGCUAAUACUCUCUUCGAUGGUUACCGCGAGCAAUGGCACAAGUCGAUGAUUUGACAAUCCAAUGCCAAUGCCGGGACUUUCACUAUUGCUCUUGCGAGCAUCGAAGCCCAUGUCACUUAAGUAUACAGUCUCAAACGGGUUGUGAUGGGCUGUCGGCACAAAGCUCUCCACUUUGUAAAUGGCUUUGCAUGUCUGGAAAGAAAUAAGGAGAUGACAUACGUAAGCUUACAUUAUCCAUAGCAAUACAGAUAUUGUCUCUCUCUAUCUCUCUAUCAUGUGAAGGAAUAAUUACUUCCACAUUUAAUUGUAGUUCGUACAUCUUUUCAAGUCUAGUUAGCCUUCGAUGAGAACAUCUCCUGCCCCAUAGAUGCUACUACUGUGGUAUUCUUUCCCGUUUAGGAUGAGGAUAGUCCCACCAUUUGUCAAAGAUAAUUUUGCGGGCAUACUCGUGAUUAGUUAAGUACGUGAGAUUUCUGGGGCAUGAUAAACAGCAAUAUUGUAUAAUAAGCUCAUUGAUUUGCUGAGCCACAGCCAACUUCGACAAAACCAGUGGAUUGAGAGCCGGAAGUUUCUUUGGAAAAUAUAUAGAAGUAACUAACUUUGCAGUAAUACUGGGUACAACCAAUUUUAUGCUUUUAGCUUUCAUUAUCAAGUAAAAUUCUACUCUAUUAGAUUCUAGCCUGAAAGUGAAAGCAAGUUCAGGUGGGAAAUGGUUAUAACAGGUGGAAACGUUAUACUCCACGAAUUGGAGGCCAUAUAAAGAAUGAUGCUAAUUGCUGAAUAGAGAAUGACUCACCAGAUGGGCCACAUCCAAAGGCCAUGUUCUUUGGAUUUGUAAGGCAAAUGGGGCAAACCUUGAAGAACACAAGCAGCUAAGUGCGGAUUUACAUUUAAUGAAGAACGUGAAGUUUCACAAAAUAAAAAAUAAAUAAAAAAUAAAUAAAAAGGUGAUUAAAUGACACUUAUUUUCCCGAAGCUGUUUCCUGAGUUUGUGGAGAACUAUCUGGGAUUGACUUAUCCAAGCUGGUAUGACCAGUGACUCCAGGUGGGGGUGGAAGUGGCCUUAUACGAGGACCAGUCACUGCCUCCCUGCAGUAUAAGCAGAAUUUACAUUAUAGCAGGCCUCAAUGCAAUGUAGAAACAAACAGCUACAGUUCCCAAUCUUACUUGACGUGCGAAAUGCUUUGAGUGGCUCUAUACUGAAGGGGAAUUUCCAUGAGAGCAGCAAGAGCAAAGGCAGUCUCUUUCUUUGAAGUAUCUGUGUUCUCAGACAUGAUUUUUGUGAAGUUGACAAACUGCGUAGUGGAACAAUGAAUAAACAAGAAGGUUAAAAGCAAAAAGAAAAAGAAAAAAAAUGUGGUGGAAUUUAUUGAUUCUAAAAUAACAUUUUAAACUUAAAAUGUGUACUCGGGGCACUAUUUACUACUGUCAGAGAGGAAUAAAUCAGACCAUAUUAUAAAAAAGUUCAAAGAAAGGGGACUUCACAAUAAAAAGUGGCUGGAGAUCCAGAAUUACUCCAUACCAAACCAAAAGCCCUAAUCCAGUCUAAACAUUAUUCAACAGCACAGUAAUCGGCAGUAACUACGCCAUACAUGUCUGAAUAGAAUUUGUACUCAAUAAACACCCCUCAAUACAAACUACUGGAAUAUACAUUUAACAUACUUUAUUUAUUUUUUCUGAAACUUCUUAUUUUGAAUUAUGCAGUUCUCUCGCUAGUCUUAUUAUGUGAACCCCGGCAUUAUUGAUGCAACUAUACUUAUAAAAAGAACUUGGAUAAUUGCAAAAGGAAUCAUCAAUUGUGCUCUCCGUAUCAAACACCCUCCUCACAUUUCAAGACUUACAUUUUGCAUCUCCCCAACCUGAAAAAAAAACUGACUUGCCCUCAUGCAUGCACAUUGCACGAUCCACACCCAAAAAUUAAAACAAAGGUCGUGGAUGGGGUAAUUUGGGAAUGAAAAUGGCCUAAUUUGGAACUUAGCAGAUUAUGUAGCAGAGGAAGAUGCAAUUUAAAACCAAUGGAAAGAAGUCAGGCUGGUAAUCAUAGGUUUUAAAACGUGAGGACGGUACUUGACAGGAGCAAAGUUCAGGAUGGUAUCAGUACUUUUCCCCAAAGAGAUCUUUCAGUACCUGAAAGUUAUCAAAUGCACGAUGAGGGAUAUUAUCAUCAAAUUGCUUCAUUGCAUCCCAUGGUCCAUCUCCCACACCAACAAAUAUGAUGGAGAGAGGAUAUUGGCUGCUCUACCAAAAAGAAACAAACGAAAAGUCAAGGAACGUGGUAAUUGCAAAGUUGGAA